This 336-nucleotide ribosomal RNA is filed under the name Liolaemus lineomaculatus. RNAcentral's name for it is "partial 12S ribosomal RNA". Lineage: Eukaryota; Metazoa; Chordata; Lepidosauria; Squamata. The record is from RNAcentral.
GUUGUUUUUGAUCAAAAUUACACAUGCAAGCAUCCGCAUCCCAGUGAGAAUGCCCUUACAAAGCAACAAGGAGCAGGUAUCAGGCACAAUAAUUUAGCCCAAGACACCUUGCUACGCCACACCCACACGGGUACCCAGCAGUGAUAAAUAUUAAGCAAUGAGUGAAAGCCAACAUCAAGCUCGACUUAGUUAUGAUCAUAUGGGGCCGGUAAACCUCGUGCCAGCCACCGCGGUUAUACGAGGGGCCCAAAACAACAGACAUCGGCGUAAAUUGUGACUAGAGUAGCCACUUAUGAAAGAUAAAAUAAAGUCUAACCGUAAAACCCAGACUAAAAG